RNA transcript from Nyctereutes procyonoides (raccoon dog), 1982 nucleotides. It is a transcript of the gene named putative protein T-ENOL, with no coding region annotated. The transcript has 5 exons. NCBI's taxonomy places the organism in Eukaryota, Metazoa, Chordata, Mammalia, Carnivora, Canidae. The record is from RefSeq and is a predicted model, not a curated record.
GCUUCUCGCGCGUCCCUAGUGGUAGGAGGAUUAGGUCCCAGGCAUCACCCUAGGGGAUUUUCCCCUUUCUCAGACUUCUGGCGCUGGGGUCACCAUACCCAACGAGGUGGAGCUGAGGCCAGAGAAGCGAAAGCGACGAGCUGGGAAAAUGACCACCCCCCCUCACCCCGGCCCACGCCUUUGGUUCUAGAAUCCCUAAUAUCCUGGCAACGGGGCUGCAGAACGUCCGCAGACACCAAGGGGGAUGGAAUCCACACCUACCAGGAAUGAGGAGAAAAAGGGCAGCAGGAUGUCCCAAGCUGCAACUCCCUUGGAUGGAGGUCCGGUGAACAUGGGGAAGGUUUCAUUAUCCCGAUCUGAAGAAUUCCUGACCCGGAUCAGCGCAGAACUCACCGAUGAGGCCUUGUUUAUUGCUGGCUGCCACAUGAACUCUGUGCCCAUCAAGGAAAAACAGACACAAGACCAAGGGACUCAGAUAUCCAAACAUGGUGACCCCCCUCACUUCAGGACCAUUGUGUCCAGAGACCCUACUGUACCCUUAGUUCCAGUCCUUAACAGCUCCCAACCACAGCUGAUCUUUCUAGCAAUCUGUGCCCAUCUGUCCCAUCUCACAGCUAGUCCUUUUUUUUUAAAGAUUUUAUUUAUUUAUUUAUUUAUUUAUUUAUUUAUUUAUUUAUUUAUUUAUUCGUGAGAGACACACAGAGAGAGAGAGGGGCAGAGACACGGGCAGAGGGAGAAGCAGGCUCCAUGCAGGGAGCCCAAUGCAGGACUCAAUCCCAGGACUCCAGGAUCACGCCCCGGGCUGAAGGCAGGGGCUCAACCGCUGAGCCACCCAGUUGUCCCUCACAGCUAGUCCUGGAAUAGCACGGUGCUCCCUGCCCUCCCAACUCACCCAGUACCCACCCCUCACUGCUGGCCAGGAACACCUCAGUACCUCCCUCCCUAGCCACAUCUCUUUCUGGCUCUGGGGGUAAUAAUUUCUCUGACUGGGGCCUCUACUUCCAGUGUUCUUCAAGACCCGAGGCACCGAUACCCGGUGAGUGAAGCUUCAAGGGAGAUGCCCUUUGUCCUGGGAGAAGGAUGAGGAGCCUGGAGGGGAGAGAGCGAGGGUUUGACAACAUCCUAGCAGGUUCUGACAGAAACCGUACCUGCACCAAGACACACCUCCUGCCAUCCUCUCGUGACAAGGGAGCUCUGCUUAGCACCUUGGCAUCCAGAGGAUGACUCUAACCCUCUUUGAUGCUGCUCUUGGCCUUUCAUAUCCUCCUCAUUGUGUCCUUCUAGAACAUACAUCAGAGCUCCUCGUUCACAAGUCAUUAACACUUCAGUUUGCUGGAGAUGCCUGGACAUGAGCAGCAUCACACCCAAAGCCUCCCAGGUGUUCUGGAACCAUCUCACACCUCUCCACCCUCAGCUGGCAAGGACAUCACCAGAAAUCCAAGGCUUUAAUAAAAAGACAGGUCUUUCCCUCCUCCUAAACCAGGCCAUGCUCUGGAGUGGCUUCUCUGGGGUGGUGAUGUGAGAGGGUCGCCCUUUUUCUUUUCCUUCUUUCUUCUCCUCCUCCUCCUUUGCCACCUCCUCCUUUUCUUUCUUACCAGAUGUGUGGGCAUAUGGGUGGAAUGGCAUAUUCCAUAUUAUUGGAAUGGCUUUAAUUUGGGCAGUUAACCUGUUUUCUGGCAUCUGAGAGGGUCCACCUUUGCUUCUGGGAAGCCACCUCUGCCAUCAAUGUCAGUGCUGAGGCCUCUCCUCAGAGCUCUGGGGCAUCACACCCCAGGGAACAUACCACGCCCAUUGCUAGCCAGAAGGCAGCACAGCCAGCUUUGUGGGUUUGCAUUUAAAUCAGAAUCUGGCCACUGACUCCAGCCUCCUGAGGAAGUCCUUUCACAUCUCUGUGCCUCAGUCUUCUUAUCUGAGUAAUGGGAAUAAUUGUCCCUGUCUCAAGGGGUCCUUGUAGGGGUUCAAAACACAAUGCAUACAGAAUG